This 465-nucleotide ribosomal RNA is filed under the name uncultured bacterium. Its description in RNAcentral is "partial 16S ribosomal RNA". It matches the Rfam family "Bacterial small subunit ribosomal RNA", at positions 338 to 795 of the family's 1533-position model. The record is from RNAcentral.
CCUAUGGGGGGCAGCAGUGGGGAAUAUUGCGCAAUGGGCGAAAGCCUGACGCAGCGACGCCGCGUGAGGGAUGAAGGUCUUCGGAUCGUAAACCUCUGUCAGCAGGGAAGAACGGUCACUGUGCUAAUCAGCAGUGAAUUGAUGGUACCUGCAAAGGCAGCACCGGCUAACUCCGUGCCAGCAGCCGCGGUAAUACGGAGGGUGCGAGCGUUAAUCGGAUUUACUGGGCGUAAAGCGCUCGUAGGCGGUAUGUCAAGUCAAGGGUGAAAGCCCCGCGCUUAACGUGGGAACUGCCUUUGAAACUGGCAAACUGGAGUGUGUGAGAGGAUAGUGGAAUGCCAGGUGUAGGGGUGAAAUGCGUAGAUAUCAGGAGGAACAUCAGUGGCGAAGGCGACUAUCUGGAACAUAACUGACGCUGAGGAGCGAAAGCGUGGGUAGCAAACAGGAUUAGAUACCCCAGUAGUC